This 286-nucleotide long non-coding RNA is filed under the name Musa acuminata (dwarf banana). Its description in RNAcentral is "long non-coding RNA (MACU_LNC006576)". The record is from RNAcentral. Lineage: Eukaryota; Viridiplantae; Streptophyta; Magnoliopsida; Zingiberales; Musaceae.
GCACUAAUGGGAUGUUAUAGUAUCCCCAACUCAAUUAGCUUGACGUCCUCGUCAAGGCCCGACAUAUCCCAGAUCGAACCCUAGCAUAGUGCAUGUGAGGAUUAACUCAGUGGUGGCUCCACGCCGUGAUGAGUUCUCUGACUCCAUCCACGGGUAGCCCUUUCCUACUCUAGCCCUCUCACCUUGCCCAAAUGCUAGGUCGGCUCUAAUACCAAAUGUAACGACCCGAGUUUGACGAGUUAACUAGCUAAUAACUCCAUUUUGGUCCUUCAACCGUGGACCAAAA